RNAcentral lists this ribosomal RNA (520 nucleotides) under uncultured Glomus. RNAcentral's name for it is "SSU rRNA". It matches the Rfam family "Eukaryotic small subunit ribosomal RNA", at positions 569 to 1090 of the family's 1831-position model. The record is from RNAcentral. Lineage: Eukaryota; Fungi; Glomeromycota; Glomeromycetes; Glomerales; Glomeraceae.
AGCAGCCGCGGUAAUUCCAGCUCCAAUAGCGUAUAUUAAAGUUGUUGCAGUUAAAAAGCUCGUAGUUGAAUUUCGGGAUCGACGGGUCGGUCGCGCCUCUGGUGUGUACUGGCCCUGUCGGUUUCUCCCUUCUGACGAACCACGAUGUCAUUAAUUUGGUGUCGUGGGAAAUCAGGACUGUUACUUUGAAAAAAUUAGAGUGUUUAAAGCAGGCAUUCGCUUGAAUACAUUAGCAUGGAAUAAUGAAAUAGGACGUUUGAUCUUAUUUUGUUGGUUUCUAAGAUCGACGUAAUGAUUAAUAGGGAUAGUUGGGGGCAUUAGUAUUCAAUUGUCAGAGGUGAAAUUCUUGGAUUUAUUGAAGACUAACUACUGCGAAAGCAUUUGCCAAGGAUGUUUUCAUUAAUCAAGAACGAAAGUUAGGGGAUCGAAGACGAUCAGAUACCGUCGUAGUCUUAACCAUAAACUAUGCCGACUAGGGAUCGGAUGAUGUUAAUUUUUUAAUGACUCAUUCGGCGCCUUA